CGGCGGGAGUAACUAUGACUCUCUUAAGGUAGCCAAAUGCCUCGUCAUCUAAUUAAUGAGGCGCAUGAAUGGAUGAACGAGAUUCCCACUGUCCCUACCUACUGUCUAGCGAAACCACAGCCAAGGGAACGGUCUUGGCUGAAUCAGCGGGGAAAGAAGACCCAGUUUAGCUUGACUCUAAUCUGGCACUGUGAAGAGACAUGAGGGGUGUAGAAUAAGUGGGAGGCCCCGCUCCGCCGGGAGCCGCCAGUGAAAUACCACUACUCUUAUCGUUCCUCACUAACCCGGUGAGGCGGGGAGGCGAGCCCCGGUGGGCUCUCGGUUCUGGCAUCCAAGCCCUCCCCGGUGCCCCCGGCGACGGGGUGCACGCGGGGGCGGCGACCCGCUCCGGGGACAGUGGCAGGUGGGGAGUUUGGCUGGGGCGG
RNAcentral lists this ribosomal RNA (425 nucleotides) under Clarias batrachus (walking catfish). RNAcentral describes it as "eukaryotic LSU rRNA". It matches the Rfam family "Eukaryotic large subunit ribosomal RNA", at positions 2251 to 2633 of the family's 3401-position model. The record is from RNAcentral. Lineage: Eukaryota; Metazoa; Chordata; Actinopteri; Siluriformes; Clariidae.